Molecule: ribosomal RNA, 253 nt
Filed under: uncultured bacterium
Lineage: Bacteria
Description: partial 16S ribosomal RNA
Rfam family: Bacterial small subunit ribosomal RNA
Source: RNAcentral
UACGUAGGGGGCAAGCGUUGUCCGGAAUCAUUGGGCGUAAAGCGCGUGUAGGCGGCCUAGUAAGUCCGUUCUGAAAGCCCGGGGCUGAACCCCGGGAGGCGGAUGGAUACUGCUGGGCUCGAGUCCGGAAGAGGCAAGUGGAAUUCCCGGUGUAGCGGUGAAAUGCGCAGAUAUCGGGAGGAACACCAAUGGCGAAGGCAGCUUGCUGGGACGGUACUGACGCUGAGACGCGAAAGCGUGGGGAGCAAACAGG